Molecule: long non-coding RNA, 365 nt
Filed under: Musa acuminata (dwarf banana)
Lineage: Eukaryota; Viridiplantae; Streptophyta; Magnoliopsida; Zingiberales; Musaceae
Description: long non-coding RNA (MACU_LNC001406)
Source: RNAcentral
GACGAGAUCUCGCAGACCGCCGAACUCGUGAGGAUCUUGGGAUGCUACGCCGCCGAUCCUAAUGUCUACGACCUUCACUAGCGGAGCGUUCGGUGCGCAUCCUUACCUGCAGCAGCACAGGAAAGCGUCUUCUCUCCUCUCCCCUCCCGUCCUCUUCUCAGUAUGGUUGUACAUAAUACGCCUGUUCCCGUUGUGUAAUUCGACUACCUUCCGUCCAUUACUAUUUCAGUUAACACCUGCUCGUUCAUCUUCCUGAGCUUGAUGGAGGACUGAUCGAUAAGCAGGUACUCUGCCGAAUCAAGUUUGCUUCUUGCUAAGUUGUAUCGUUUGUUCCCACCACGAAAGUAGCAUCUUCCUUGUAAGGU